This 670-nucleotide ribosomal RNA is filed under the name Kytococcus schroeteri. RNAcentral's name for it is "bacterial SSU rRNA". It matches the Rfam family "Bacterial small subunit ribosomal RNA", at positions 41 to 724 of the family's 1533-position model. Lineage: Bacteria; Bacillati; Actinomycetota; Actinomycetes; Micrococcales; Kytococcaceae. The record is from RNAcentral.
GGUAGGACUCUAAGUUGCUCGUCGAACGGUGAACGGGUGCUUGCACUCGUGGAUCAGUGGCGAACGGGUGAGUAACACGUGAGUAACCUGCCCAUCACUCUGGGAUAAGCGCUGGAAACGGCGUCUAAUACUGGAUACGACCAACCCUUGCAUGGGGUGUUGGUGGAAAGAUUUAUCGGUGAUGGAUGGACUCGCGGCCUAUCAGCUUGUUGGUGGGGUAAUGGCCUACCAAGGCGACGACGGGUAGCCGGCCUGAGAGGGCGACCGGCCACACUGGGACUGAGACACGGCCCAGACUCCUACGGGAGGCAGCAGUGGGGAAUAUUGCACAAUGGGCGAAAGCCUGAUGCAGCGACGCCGCGUGAGGGAUGACGGCCUUCGGGUUGUAAACCUCUUUCAGCAGGGAAGAAGCUUUUGUGACGGUACCUGCAGAAGAAGCACCGGCUAACUACGUGCCAGCAGCCGCGGUAAUACGUAGGGUGCGAGCGUUGUCCGGAAUUAUUGGGCGUAAAGAGCUUGUAGGCGGUUUGUCGCGUCUGCUGUGAAAAUCCGGGGCUUAACCUCGGACGUGCAGUGGGUACGGGCAGACUAGAGUGGGUAGGGGAGAUGGAAUUCCUGGUGUAGCGGUGAAAUGCGCAGAUAUCAGGAGGAACACCGAUGGCGAAGGCAG